UUUAUGGAGAGUUUGAUCCUGGCUCAGGAUGAACGCUGGCGGCGUGCCUAAUACAUGCAAGUCGAGCGAACGGACGAGAAGCUUGCUUCUCUGAUGUUAGCGGCGGACGGGUGAGUAACACGUGGAUAACCUACCUAUAAGACUGGGAUAACUUCGGGAAACCGGAGCUAAUACCGGAUAAUAUUUUGAACCGCAUGGUUCAAAAGUGAAAGACGGUCUUGCUGUCACUUAUAGAUGGAUCCGCGCUGCAUUAGCUAGUU
Molecule: ribosomal RNA, 260 nt
Filed under: Staphylococcus aureus
Lineage: Bacteria; Bacillati; Bacillota; Bacilli; Caryophanales; Staphylococcaceae
Description: partial 16S ribosomal RNA
Rfam family: Bacterial small subunit ribosomal RNA
Source: RNAcentral